ACGCUGGCGGUAGGCCUAACACAUGCAAGUCGAACGGCAGCACAGUAAGAGCUUGCUCUUACGGGUGGCGAGUGGCGGACGGGUGAGGAAUACAUCGGAAUCUACCUUUUCGUGGGGGAUAACGUAGGGAAACUUACGCUAAUACCGCAUACGACCUUCGGGUGAAAGCAGGGGACCUUCGGGCCUUGCGCGGAUAGAUGAGCCGAUGUCGGAUUAGCUAGUUGGCGGGGUAAAGGCCCACCAAGGCGACGAUCCGUAGCUGGUCUGAGAGGAUGAUCAGCCACACUGGAACUGAGACACGGUCCAGACUCCUACGGGAGGCAGCAGUGGGGAAUAUUGGACAAUGGGCGCAAGCCUGAUCCAGCCAUACCGCGUGGGUGAAGAAGGCCUUCGGGUUGUAAAGCCCUUUUGUUGGGAAAGAAAAGCAAUCGAUUAAUACUCGGUUGUUCUGACGGUACCCAAAGAAUAAGCACCGGCUAACUUCGUGCCAGCAGCCGCGGUAAUACGAAGGGUGCAAGCGUUACUCGGAAUUACUGGGCGUAAAGCGUGCGUAGGUGGUUGUUUAAGUCUGUUGUGAAAGCCCUGGGCUCAACCUGGGAAUUGCAGUGGAUACUGGGCAACUAGAGUGUGGUAGAGGGUAGUGGAAUUCCCGGUGUAGCAGUGAAAUGCGUAGAGAUCGGGAGGAACAUCCAUGGCGAAGGCAGCUACCUGGACCAACACUGACACUGAGGCACGAAAGCGUGGGGAGCAAAC
RNAcentral lists this ribosomal RNA (753 nucleotides) under uncultured bacterium. Its description in RNAcentral is "bacterial SSU rRNA". It matches the Rfam family "Bacterial small subunit ribosomal RNA", at positions 33 to 773 of the family's 1533-position model. The record is from RNAcentral.